Molecule: long non-coding RNA, 1067 nt
Filed under: Salmo salar (Atlantic salmon)
Lineage: Eukaryota; Metazoa; Chordata; Actinopteri; Salmoniformes; Salmonidae
Description: lncRNA (ENSSSAG00000103071.1)
Source: RNAcentral
CAGAUUACAUUAGGUUGCUGCAUCAGGGCUGGAGACACUUGAACGGAGACAAACACACAGGCACGCACGCAUGCAUGCACAUGCAAGGGAUGUGACAAAUGGACAAUUUUGCUAAACAUUUAAACAUCAUAACAUUCAGAAAAAAAACAUAAAAUUCCACAUCAAUUCACAAUUCAGAAUAAUGGUCCUAUUACGCAUGACCGCUAGGGCCGGGCAAUGAAGUUAUAUCUACCGCAGUCAUAUACCCUUGAAAGCGUCUCGGCUACGGAAUGUUUGUUGGUCUGUAAGGGUACACUAUAGCUUUUCAAACGCCGACACAAAACCUUCUCUGGAGAUAGUUUCGAAGCGCCACUGAAUGGGCAUUUUACUUGUCUGUAUAGGAAUGCCCCAUCUGAACCGGGAUCGACGUCCAUCACUAGACCCAAUCAUCACAGCUGGAAGCCUGUACAGUACUCAAUGCCCACUGAUCAGAACUGCACACUACAUUGGAUUUGUGUGAGGUGACUGACUGAGGAGGCAGGUGGUCUACAGCAGGGAGCCUGCAUAGGAGUGGAGAGAAGAGGAGAAGAGAGGACAGAAGAGGAGAGAUGAGAUGAAAGGGGAGAGGACAUAGUUUGAAGAGGAGAGGAGAGGAGAGGUGAUGAAAGAGGAGACGGUGGUUUGAACAUGAUUUUGGUUAGUAGAGCCUUCCUGGUUGGAGCUCAAAUGUGCACACAGAGCUAUCAUCGACUAAACACAAACUGUACGACUUGAUCUAGACAGCGUGUUUCUUUGUCUCCGUUUUAUUAUUAUUUUUAUUAUUAGGGGUUCAGCAACGAAGCUGGUGAAACCCUAUUGUAUUUGUUGUCGUUAAUUAUUAUUUUCCUUCUGCUGAUUUAGUGAAAAAUACAAAUUCCUGUGAGAUGGUAAGGGUGCAACUUUGCAAGAUUGUAAACGGUCAAGGGCCACACCCUCUCAUGCAUAGCCAUGCAUAUUGGCCACAUGGUGGCGCUAUAACAAGCAAUUGAAAAUGCUAACUUCGAAAGGUCACGCUCACCCCGUCCGAUACAUAUACAGUUGAAGUCGGA